UUAUAUUUAAUACACUAUAACAGAAUUAGGUUAUAGAGACAUAUUGUUAAGACAUUUUUAUAUAAGUGUCUCAUUUAUACCUUUUUUUUUAAAUAUCUAUUAAGGCUUAAAUAUAAAGUCUAAUCCAACCAAAAUAAAAAGUUACCGUACUCAACCAAUCCAAUCCAGCCUACUCGACCCGAUUACAAAAAAAAAAAAAAAAAAAAAUGAUCAUCAUCUCCUCUUCUCCUCCACCGGCAUCGUAAUCAAUGAGAUAGGGUCCCGGCGAUUAAAGUUCGGUCGUGAGAAUUUCACAAAAAUUGUAGAGGGCUACGAUCAUCAUGUUUUCCUCCGCCAUAAGUCGCUAGAGGAAUGGGUGCCAAACAUCGAGACGGCUCCACAUAUAGCAACAUUUUUUUAAAAAGUGUGGGUAAUUUAGUCGACGGCACUUUUUUUCAUUUAUACCGACAUUUAAAAGUGUCGCUAUAUAUCGUUUUUAUUAUUGUUAUAAUGCUUCUGCAGAACCCUCUCUCAAUUUUUUUUUUUUUUUGUUUUACUAAAUAUUUUAUAUAGAGUUACCAUAUCACAGCUUAAACACAAUUGUCAAAGCAAAGUGGUAUCAGCUUAAAACUAUGGUCGUGCUUUUAAUUAGCCUUACAAAAUUGAAAAAAAGCAAAUUGAUGGACACACGCAAUUGCUAAAAUAUAGAGACUUUGAAAGUUAUAGGAAGCUUCAUGGAAACUCAUUAUCCAUGUUAAUUUUCGAAAAGUCAAUUUAUUUAGGGCAAUAUCUCCUAGUUUGAAUUUGGCCAAGUAUCCCCAUUACAAAAUUAUUUAUCGCAUAUUUUUAGAUAACACAAGAUGUAUUUUUCCAAUACAAAGGCAUUGUUCAUCUAGGGGUGUUUAUUGCUGGACAAAAAUUAUAUAAGGGAGGUUAAUGCUAUGGCUUUGUGUUUAAGCAAUCGAGAAUCGACAUUGUUAAAUUUGAUCUAUGUUAUAUGAACUACUUAAGAUUCUAAAUUUCGUGAUUUUACCAUAUUGUCUCUAAAAUGACAAUUUUUAAUGGUUAAUAUAAAAUUAAUUUAAGAUUUUUUGAUUACUAAAUAAAUGAUAUCGAAAAAUUAUAAAUUUAAUUUUCAUAAUAUUUAAAUAGUCGAGAACAUAUUUAAUAAUGUAGAUCGUCGAUUUGGAUAUAAAUCCAUUGUUAGGUCAUUUGAUUGGAACUUUGAGCACCUAACCACCACAGCUAUGGGUCGUUGGUGUUGAAUAUAAAUCAUGUAAACACUGUUCUUCGAAGCUUAACCUUUUGUAGA
RNAcentral lists this long non-coding RNA (1291 nucleotides) under Ananas comosus (pineapple). RNAcentral's name for it is "long non-coding RNA (ACOM_LNC020540)". Lineage: Eukaryota; Viridiplantae; Streptophyta; Magnoliopsida; Poales; Bromeliaceae. The record is from RNAcentral.